RNAcentral lists this ribosomal RNA (366 nucleotides) under Triticum aestivum (bread wheat). RNAcentral's name for it is "partial small subunit ribosomal RNA". The record is from RNAcentral. Lineage: Eukaryota; Viridiplantae; Streptophyta; Magnoliopsida; Poales; Poaceae.
AUGUCAGUCCAAGUCGUCGCCAAGAAGGCGGCGGAGGCGGCCGCAUUCGCCAAGGCCAUCAAGAAACCCUCCAAAUGCGUCACCGACUGCCUCGACGACCUCGCCGUACUAUCCAAGCACAUCAAGACGCUCCUGGCGACGCUCGAAACCGCCAACGACGCGGGCUUCUUUGAGCAAUUUGACAAAAAGAGCAAAUGUCACGGAGAUUGUUGCUCGGACAACUUCUCGGUCGAGGAAUGCAACGCACAGAGCCAAAUCGGUGGGGUGUUUGGCGAUUUUCGUGUCACUGAUGACCUGUUGAUGAGGAGGGCGUAUUUUAGGAAGCAACAGCUUGACAACAAAACAACAUCACCUAACUCUAACUGA